GGGUUGUGAGGUUAAGCGACUAAGCGUACACGGUGGAUGCCCUGGCAGUCAGAGGCGAUGAAGGACGUGCUAAUCUGCGAUAAGCGUCGGUAAGGUGAUAUGAACCGUUAUAACCGGCGAUUUCCGAAUGGGGAAACCCAGUGUGAUUCGUCACACUAUCAUUAACUGAAUCCAUAGGUUAAUGAGGCGAACCGGGGGAACUGAAACAUCUAAGUACCCCGAGGAAAAGAAAUCAACCGAGAUUCCCCCAGUAGCGGCGAGCGAACGGGGAGGAGCCCAGAGCCUGAAUCAGUGUGUGUGUUAGUGGAAGCGUCUGGAAAGGCGCGCGAUACAGGGUGACAGCCCCGUACACAAAAAUACACAUAUUGUGAGCUCGAUGAGUAGGGCGGGACACGUGGUAUCCUGUCUGAAUAUGGGGGGACCAUCCUCCAAGGCUAAAUACUCCUGACUGACCGAUAGUGAACCAGUACCGUGAGGGAAAGGCGAAAAGAACCCCGGCGAGGGGAGUGAAAAAGAACCUGAAACCGUGUACGUACAAGCAGUGGGAGCACGCUUAGGCGUGUGACUGCGUACCUUUUGUAUAAUGGGUCAGCGACUUAUAUUCUGUAGCAAGGUUAACCGAAUAGGGGAGCCGAAGGGAAACCGAGUCUUAACUGGGCGUUAAGUUGCAGGGUAUAGACCCGAAACCCGGUGAUCUAGCCAUGGGCAGGUUGAAGGUUGGGUAACACUAACUGGAGGACCGAACCGACUAAUGUUGAAAAAUUAGCGGAUGACUUGUGGCUGGGGGUGAAAGGCCAAUCAAACCGGGAGAUAGCUGGUUCUCCCCGAAAGCUAUUUAGGUAGCGCCUCGUGAAUUCAUCUCCGGGGGUAGAGCACUGUUUCGGCAAGGGGGUCAUCCCGACUUACCAACCCGAUGCAAACUGCGAAUACCGGAGAAUGUUAUCACGGGAGACACACGGCGGGUGCUAACGUCCGUCGUGAAGAGGGAAACAACCCAGACCGCCAGCUAAGGUCCCAAAGUCAUGGUUAAGUGGGAAACGAUGUGGGAAGGCCCAGACAGCCAGGAUGUUGGCUUAGAAGCAGCCAUCAUUUAAAGAAAGCGUAAUAGCUCACUGGUCGAGUCGGCCUGCGCGGAAGAUGUAACGGGGCUAAACCAUGCACCGAAGCUGCGGCAGCGACGCUUAUGCGUUGUUGGGUAGGGGAGCGUUCUGUAAGCCUGCGAAGGUGUGCUGUGAGGCAUGCUGGAGGUAUCAGAAGUGCGAAUGCUGACAUAAGUAACGAUAAAGCGGGUGAAAAGCCCGCUCGCCGGAAGACCAAGGGUUCCUGUCCAACGUUAAUCGGGGCAGGGUGAGUCGACCCCUAAGGCGAGGCCGAAAGGCGUAGUCGAUGGGAAACAGGUUAAUAUUCCUGUACUUGGUGUUACUGCGAAGGGGGGACGGAGAAGGCUAUGUUGGCCGGGCGACGGUUGUCCCGGUUUAAGCGUGUAGGCUGGUUUUCCAGGCAAAUCCGGAAAAUCAAGGCUGAGGCGUGAUGACGAGGCACUACGGUGCUGAAGCAACAAAUGCCCUGCUUCCAGGAAAAGCCUCUAAGCAUCAGGUAACAUCAAAUCGUACCCCAAACCGACACAGGUGGUCAGGUAGAGAAUACCAAGGCGCUUGAGAGAACUCGGGUGAAGGAACUAGGCAAAAUGGUGCCGUAACUUCGGGAGAAGGCACGCUGAUAUGUAGGUGAAGUCCCUUGCGGAUGGAGCUGAAAUCAGUCGAAGAUACCAGCUGGCUGCAACUGUUUAUUAAAAACACAGCACUGUGCAAACACGAAAGUGGACGUAUACGGUGUGACGCCUGCCCGGUGCCGGAAGGUUAAUUGAUGGGGUCAGCGCAAGCGAAGCUCUUGAUCGAAGCCCCGGUAAACGGCGGCCGUAACUAUAACGGUCCUAAGGUAGCGAAAUUCCUUGUCGGGUAAGUUCCGACCUGCACGAAUGGCGUAAUGAUGGCCAGGCUGUCUCCACCCGAGACUCAGUGAAAUUGAACUCGCUGUGAAGAUGCAGUGUACCCGCGGCAAGACGGAAAGACCCCGUGAACCUUUACUAUAGCUUGACACUGAACAUUGAGCCUUGAUGUGUAGGAUAGGUGGGAGGCUUUGAAGUGUGGACGCCAGUCUGCAUGGAG
This 2168-nucleotide ribosomal RNA is filed under the name Shigella sonnei. RNAcentral describes it as "bacterial LSU rRNA". It matches the Rfam family "Bacterial large subunit ribosomal RNA", at positions 1 to 2185 of the family's 2925-position model. Lineage: Bacteria; Pseudomonadati; Pseudomonadota; Gammaproteobacteria; Enterobacterales; Enterobacteriaceae. The record is from RNAcentral.